CAUCCGAGCCCCCCUUUCAUCCCUCGAGCUUAUUUAGCCCCGCAUCGCUGCAAUAUUUCGCUUCCUAUGUGUGCGCGUCGAAGGCUAGACUUUAGGACCUUCUUAUCCCAUACCAGACGGUGGUUGAUUUCCUGCUGUAAAAACCGAAACGGGGGAUUAUCCUCCCGCCGUCUCCGACCUGGAGGUAAUCUUUCUCCCGAUCUUAAAUAACGAACAAAAAUUUUUCUAGGGAUAUAUUCGACGGUAGGACUAGACACUAUUUUAUCGUUACUUUGCCAAAAAAGUAAAACUUUGUAAGUAAUCUUACAAGUAAAUGGACCAAACGUGUUUUCCAAAUGGAAUGUCGAGAUAAGGGUGAAACUAAACCGUUUAAGUUACAUUUCUUUAAUUGAAUUGUUGGAUUUCUUAAGUAAUCUUGGAAUAAUUUUUUUUUUGUGAAUUGAAAAACAUUAUGCAUCAUGUACAAAUGUAAACUACGGAAUUUGAAAUAAAACCGACCGCUCCGCAUAGCAGUAAUGAAUUUUUCACCGUAUCCGUAGUAACCGCGCGUACAAAUCCAUAUGAAAGGCGAUGCAGCAGUCUGCAACAGUCUGCAAUACACACACAUACGAAAGUAUAGUGUACACGCCCACGGAGAUCAGGCCGACGGUUUGGGUUUUGGUGCAGGCGCAGAUUCGCAACGACCUCUUGGACCUUCUGCAGAUCCCCGAUAAACAUUAACCAGACGAUUCGAUCGUGUGUCACCCUAUCGAUAUGUUUAUUAUAACUUCACCGGCACGGUUUUAUUUAUCAUUAUUACGGCUAUUACGAAGAAUCAGGAUAAAUCGAUAUCACGUCAGAAACUCCGACGUCUAACUUGACUCUUACAAAGUGGAAUUUACAGCCAUUAUGUUUCUUAAGGAACACUGAAAAUGAUAUUUGAAGAGUCGAUGUAAAAUGAAGAAAGAAAAUUUCAGUAUCUUUAACAUCCUCUCAUCUUUUUGCUUAACACGGUGCGUGUGGUGGAUUAAAAGGGUGGCGCAGAAGGAUGGUGGAGGGCGUCGCGACGCCGGGUUCGUAGGGUGACUACGGCAGAGGAGUGUGGGGAGGGGAUAUUGACCUCGACGCGAUCGAUACGACCGUCUGGCGGGACCGACGCCGCCGACGGGCGUACGUAGAGCGUCGCGGCGGCGUCAAUGAAUGACGUCACGGCGGCGGUUGCGGCGACAGCAGCGGGUGUAUCGACAUACACCACGCCCUUCCUUUGCGACAUUUUCGCCCAACAGAAAUAAAUACAGGAUCGGAUUAAAAAAAAUGUUUAUAACUCGAUAGAAAGAAAUAUCGUUUUAGCAACAACACAGUGGGGUCGCAGAGAGUAGUAAUUGUAGCCUAAAUAAAGUUCGUACAAAAAUGAAAAAGUUUCUCACUAUUUGUAUGAAUGGAAAUUUUAAAAUUGCGGUGGUGACAAUCACUGCCUACAACGUUUUCGUUUUAUAGUUUUUAGCCUACGUCGUCGUACUAUUCACAUUGAAACCGUCUAAUGUAAGAGGGGAAAUACGUGAUGUAGUACUACGUCGACGUACUAUGAAUACAUUUUAUGAAUAGGUUGAGGACGAUUGAUUUUUGUCUUUUUUAAAGAACACUUUUUGUUAAUGAGUACGUAAAAUAUUCUUAUCGGUAUUUGGAUCACCCCAGGGAAAUUUAUGGGCACUUUUCGGCUCUUUACAUUACCGGUUCAUCGCCUCUUACGCCGCUAAAAGUGAACUGCUCCGGAAAUUCCAACAAUUUCAAGAGGCUACCCAGAGGUGGCUUUAUUCGAGCGCAUUGAACUUCAUUCUUCGACGUUCUUUAGACUUUACUCUCACAUCAAAUACUGUAAUACGUCAGCAAUUAAAGGAUACGUUCCAGUUUGUAACCAACAUAAAUUUUCAUAAAACUACUGUUCGUUUAAAAAUAACGCAAAAUUUUACAAUUUACAAUGUGGAGAAAAUAUUUUUAUCAAGCAUAAUAUAACUGUUAGGUCAAGGGCUGAAAUAAUUCAAUUUUGUACCAACACUGCGCACGCGAUGGUUAAGAAGAAACGAUUUGUGAGAAAUAAAUCGAAUAGUUAUCAUUCUUUGCUAGUAAUUUACGAAAUGCUUCUAGUUCCUGUUUUAACCCAUUUGACUUCCAUUUAGAAUCAAUUUCACAAUCACAUUUCAGCGAAAUUGCGACCUCGGCAAUUUGAAGCAAUCGAUAUAACGUUCCUGAUAUAUCUUGGUAGAGAUACAAAAUUUAUUAUAAUUAGAUAUUUACCCUCAAACCGUCAAAGUCGUUUCCGGGCUCCAAAGUUGACAAUUACGUGUCACCACAAAUCGUCAGCUUUGGAAGCUUCUAGUCUAGCUUCUAAUCGUUGCUGAUAUAUCUUGGUGGAGAUACAAAAUCUAUUAUAAGAAGAUAUUUAUGCUCUAAUCAUCGAGGUCGCUUUCGGGCGAGGUGCUAGAAUUUUCCGAAACUGAUGAUUUUGUGUUGAUGUAUCAAAUGUAGCGUCUCGGCCGGAAGCAAUAUUAUAUAUCUUGGUGUUGAUACAAAAUCUCUUACAAGAAAAUAUAUUAUAAUAAAAAUAAAUUUAGUGAUGU
Molecule: long non-coding RNA, 2597 nt
Filed under: Onthophagus taurus
Lineage: Eukaryota; Metazoa; Arthropoda; Insecta; Coleoptera; Scarabaeidae
Description: uncharacterized LOC111427153
Source: RNAcentral